GCAGAUGUAGUUCAGUGGUAGAACACGACCUUGCCAAGGUUGCAACGCGAGUUCAAUUCUCGUCAUCUGCUCCA
This 74-nucleotide transfer RNA is filed under the name bacterium. RNAcentral describes it as "tRNA-Gly". It matches the Rfam family "tRNA". From Rfam's summary of the family: Transfer RNA (tRNA) molecules are approximately 80 nucleotides in length. Their secondary structure includes four short double-helical elements and three loops (D, anti-codon, and T loops). The record is from RNAcentral.